UUCCCCUUAUUUCAUCUCUUCUUCCUCACUUUUCACUCUCCCUCUCUCCCUUAAGACGUCGUCGUUUGCCGCCCUGCUCCGCCGCCGGAAAUCGCCCACCGGCGGCAGGUAUCGUCCAAACCAUCCCAAAAUUUCACCACUCCUUCCUCUCCUCACCCACUUUCUAGACCCACAACCCGAAUCUCCCAAAUCUCUACCAAAUAUUGAUAAAAUCAAACCCUAGUCGCGCCGCCACCACUGUCGCCGUCAGUUGUCAUCCAAACUACCCCAAACUUUCACCAUUUCUUCUUCUCAACCUUCUCUCCACGAAUCCAGACCCUGUUUCCUUCAAACCCCUCCCAAAAUCUACACCACCGCCGAAAACCACCCUCCCCGCGGACCCGCCACCACUGCUGCACCACUUCUCCUCAGUUUUAGCCUAAUUUUGACCCAAGAACACUGAUUUUCUUUUAGUAUGACAUCGAGUUCAUUGAGCUUAGUGCCUACCAAAAUGAAACAAGCAUUCUACGAUCGGAGAGCAGCUACCCGAGGUCCCCGACAUCUGUCUCGUCGCUCGAUUUGGCAUCGAAUCCCUUCGUAUGGUAAAACAUCAAUUUUCUUUUCCUAUUUUACUUUUUCUGGUUUUUGCUUAUGUGAUUAGGUUUUGUUUUGAUUUUAUGUUUCUUAUCGAUGUUAAUCCAUUGCUUGUUCUGAUCAUUGUCGAUUCGUUGGAUUGUAUUUAUUUUGUGUAAUCGCUUAAUUAUCCAUUUGAUUUAGCCAUGAAUCCCUUCUAUGAUCGCAUUGAGUUAGCUCAUUAAUAUGAUUAGGUUCUGUUUAGUUAAGUGUCAUUAUUUUCCGUUUAGUUAAGUGUUUGGUUUAGUCAUAGUUGUUUUAAUGAAUUAAUUAGUUUGUAUGUGAUAUGUUAAACUGCUUACUUUUAAAUAAUUGGUUUGGAUAUUACAUCUGUUUAGUUUAAUUUUUAGUUAUUAGGAUCUGAUUUCUCUUGAUUGAUUAAUAUUUUAGUUAAGGUUUAGUUACAUUUUUUUAAGUAUUUAGUUGAGUUCUAGUUACUUCCUUAUUUUUUUGGUUUGUUAGAAAUAGGAUGGUAUUGAUGCUGAUAAAAGCUGAAGUUUAGUUAAAUCAAUCAUGAAAUAGGGUACUUGUAGCCUACCUUUUUACUAGUAUUAGUAGGGUUGCUGAAAUGACUCUUUUCCUCCUUGCUCCUGCUACAUCAGGUUUUCAGGCUGUCUUUUCAUCUCUUUGGACUGCCUUUGGGCCGUGUUUUGGCUCACAAAGUUAGUCUUUUGGACAGACUUUUGGUGGACCAAAAUCUGUCCAAAAAGUACCUUUAUUUUUCUACUUAAGAGGUUGCUCUCCCCACACUUGAUAGACAUACUCUAUCACACUUACAUACAUCUUUAGAGUUGCUUGAAUACACAAAAACUUGGGAAAAAUCAGCAGCUGAGCAGAUAAAGAGUAAGCUGAAAAUCAUGAGUUUUUGGUUGAGUCUUAGAGUGCAAAAUCUUUCAAAAAUAUAUAAGAGUCUUAAAGUUUGAUUCUGAGUUUCUUCUCUUGAAGAAUCAUUAGUUUUAGUGAGAUUUCUAGGCUGUUUUAACAAUAAUUCACUGUUGUUUUGUCGUUAUUUUCGCUAUCUUUGUUGCUGAGUUUCUGUUCUUUCACUGCUGAAUUUUAUUUUGUUACAAAUUAGGUAACUCUUAAACCUUUAUAUUACAGAUUCUUGAUGACAAUGAAAAAAAUUUGAACCCGUUUGAUUGGUGGAACAUGUAAUAUAUGUUUUUGUUCCAAGAUAAUUGUUACAUCAAUGUUAUAGCAUGUAAAUUUGUAGUAUUUAUCUAUAACUUUCACUUUUGUUUACAAAACAA
Molecule: long non-coding RNA, 1862 nt
Filed under: Nicotiana tabacum (common tobacco)
Lineage: Eukaryota; Viridiplantae; Streptophyta; Magnoliopsida; Solanales; Solanaceae
Description: long non-coding RNA (NTAB_LNC010470)
Source: RNAcentral